GUAGGGAGGGGCCGAGUCAUAAAAGGCCUCCAAUGUCUGGCUAAGUGGGGACUUGACCUUGUAGGUGCUGGGGAGUUGCUGGAAGGUUCUGAGCUGCGUGAUCACUGGUGAGAGCUAACUUAAAGAGGAGGACUGCUCUGGUGGCCAGGUGGAGCCUGGAUUGUAUGGGGUGGGACGGGAGGCAGCUGGUCCAGGGGAGGACACAGGGUGGACUGAGGACGUCAUCCCGCAGAAGAGGGCCGUAUUCCCGCUUGACUUGAAAGGAGAACCCCAGAUCAUGACCGAUGGAUUAACAAUGGGGAGGACUGUGAAAUUAGUGCCGAUUGUCCCAGAAACUAGAAACUGCCGAGUGACCGGUGCCAUAGAAGUUUCAGAAAAGCGCACCCAACAUGAUCGUGUAUCCGCGGCAGUGGCACAGAGCGGGUGCUCCCAGGGCAGCUUUUGGAUGAAUGACUUUCCCUGAGUGGGAGGGGCGAGGAGCAGCAGGAAGCAAGACGCAGGAGUCCUUGGCCAGGGGACGAAAUCAUGCAGCUCCCUCCGUGGCUUCCUCCUGCUCCUGCCAGCUCCACUGCCCGGCGGCCUUGCCCGGGCCCAGUAGCCACAUACCGCCACGUGUAAAUCUGGAGGAGGCGAAAACAGGCAGAAACUCAACACGACCAGAAACAGAUGUCAAGAACAUUAUGGGUGGGGCCCCGCGAGGGGAGAGCCGGGGCCAGCGGUGGCUGCUGCGGGAGCCAGAGAGGAAGGAGGGAUUUCCAGGACAGGAGUCAAGAGUGCACG
Ailuropoda melanoleuca (giant panda) is the source of this 780-nucleotide long non-coding RNA. RefSeq lists it as uncharacterized. Lineage: Eukaryota; Metazoa; Chordata; Mammalia; Carnivora; Ursidae. The record is from RefSeq and is a predicted model, not a curated record. The transcript is spliced from 3 exons.